AUGGGGGAAACCCUGAUGCAGCCAUGCCGCGUGUGUGAAGAAGGCCUUCGGGUUGUAAAGCACUUUCAGUUGUGAGGAAAAGUUAGUAGUUAAUACCUGCUAACCGUGACGUUAACAACAGAAGAAGCACCGGCUAACUCCGUGCCAGCAGCCGCGGUAAUACGGAGGGUGCGAGCGUUAAUCGGAAUUACUGGGCGUAAAGCGCACGCAGGCGGUUUGUUAAGCUAGAUGUGAAAGCCCCGGGCUCAACCUGGGAUGGUCAUUUAGAACUGGCAGACUAGAGUCUUGGAGAGGGGAGUGGAAUUCCAGGUGUAGCGGUGAAAUGCGUAGAUAUCUGGAGGAACAUCAGUGGCGAAGGCGACUCCCUGGCCAAAGACUGACGCUCAUGUGCGAAAGUGUGGGUAGCGAACAGGAUUAGAUACCCUGGUAGUCCACACCGUAAACGCUGUCUACUAGCUGUUUGUGACUUUAAGUCGUGAGUAGCGAAGCUAACGCGCUAAGUAGACCGCCUGGGGAGUACGGCCGC
RNAcentral lists this ribosomal RNA (526 nucleotides) under Alteromonas macleodii. Its description in RNAcentral is "bacterial SSU rRNA". It matches the Rfam family "Bacterial small subunit ribosomal RNA", at positions 371 to 889 of the family's 1533-position model. Lineage: Bacteria; Pseudomonadati; Pseudomonadota; Gammaproteobacteria; Alteromonadales; Alteromonadaceae. The record is from RNAcentral.